RNAcentral lists this ribosomal RNA (318 nucleotides) under Triticum aestivum (bread wheat). RNAcentral describes it as "partial small subunit ribosomal RNA". The record is from RNAcentral. Lineage: Eukaryota; Viridiplantae; Streptophyta; Magnoliopsida; Poales; Poaceae.
AUGACGGCGCCUGAGACUCUGACCGUGGAGGGAGAGAACACCACUCGACACACAGUGACCUUCGCGAAUCCACUGUCGAGUGCUCAGCAGCCUUCCCUCUUCACGACUCACCACGUCCCAGAGGACCAAGCUGGUGCAGCGAAGGAGGCAAUACGCCAGGCGGGGCUCAUGAUGGAGCAGCUGAAGACCAUCCGGGAUGCGAGCCAGGCAGCUUAUGACGCCAGCUCUGCCCUCCAAAGCAAUGUCCAGGUCAGUCGACUGCUGUUUGUUCUGUUGGAUAUGCUACCAAAAACUUUUCUUUUCCGGGAUUUGUAUUAG